RNAcentral lists this ribosomal RNA (778 nucleotides) under uncultured Neocallimastigales. RNAcentral describes it as "partial large subunit ribosomal RNA". It matches the Rfam family "Eukaryotic large subunit ribosomal RNA", at positions 18 to 644 of the family's 3401-position model. Lineage: Eukaryota; Fungi; Neocallimastigomycota; Neocallimastigomycetes; Neocallimastigales. The record is from RNAcentral.
UCAGACGAUGCGUCAUGCAUAUCAAUAAGCGGAGGAAAAGAAACUAACAAGGAUUCCCUUAGUAACGGCGAGUGAAGCGGGAAGAGCUCAAAUUUGAAAUCUUCAAGGUUUUACCUUGACGAAUUGUAGUUUAAAGAAGUGUUUUCUGCUGAAGUUUUGGUAAAAGUUCUUUGGAAUAGGACAUCAUAGAGGGUGAGAAUCCCGUAUGAUUGACCGAUUAUUGUCAGCUUUGUGAUACACUUUCAAAGAGUCGGAUUGUUUGGGAAUGCAGUCCAAAAUGGGAUGGUAAAUUUCUAUCUAAGGCUAAAUAUUGGCGAGAGACCGAUAGCGAACAAGUACCGUGAGGGAAAGAUGAAAAGAACUUUGAAAAGAGAGUUAAAUAGUACGUGAAAUUGUCAAAAGGGAAGCGUUUAACACCAGUGUUGUUUUCUGAAAAUCAACCUCUGUUAGCUUUAUGCAUGUUUGUUUAGACCUAAUCAGCUAUCUUGCAUGUUCUAUUGUUUGCAGUGGUGCACUUUUCAGUUUACAGGUCAACAUCAGUUUUUUUUACCGUAAAAAAGUUAAAGAAAGGUAGCUCAUGGCUCCGGUCGUGAGUGUUAUAGUCUUUUUCCUAUGCGGUAGGAGAGACUGAGGUCUGCAGUGUAGGACUAUUCGGGCUAGAUACUCAGGUGCUAUGUGAUACCAUUUCAUAAACAACUUGUUGAUUAUGUUUUGUCUAUUGCAUACUCGCUUGUACUAUCAUACCUACGCUUAGGAUGUUGACUGAUAUGUAGUCGUA